Molecule: long non-coding RNA, 594 nt
Organism: Mauremys reevesii (Reeves's turtle)
Lineage: Eukaryota; Metazoa; Chordata; Testudines; Geoemydidae
Exons: 3
Source: RefSeq, a predicted model, not a curated record
CGGGGGGGGGGUGAUUUCCCCGUGGGUGGGGGUAAUAGCGAAGGUGGGGGGAGAGUUCCCCCCCCAGGGAACAGUGAGGGGGAUAUGAGUCACACACACACACAGAGGGAACGGGGAGAGGGAUAUGAGUCACCCCCACCCCCACGGGGAAUAGCGACCAGGGCGGGGGAACACCCCAGGGACCGGCCCAGGCCCGCUCUCCGCUCGGCCCGGGCUCUCACUCACUGGCUGGCCGCCGCCGGGAUCAGGGCAGCUCGGGUCCUGGACUAGAUCAAAGCGCCUAAAAGAACUGUUAAAAUGCGUCAGCAGAAUGCACACGGACACUUAGAUCGCAGCAGUUUCAUUCUUCAAGAAAACUGAAGGAACAAGACUCAUUCAGUUCUAAUAAACCAACCAACUGAAAAUUCUCAUCGGUUCCUUAGCAGUUUCCUAGGUAUUUGCCAUAUUAUCUCAGCGAGAAAGCAAGAUUUCUAUGCUGUAUCCAGCCAGCAGCUUGAGUCUCUCAAGAGGCUGUUGACAAACUCAUUGCAAAGCGUUUCCUCACAAAUGGAUUCUGGGUUCUGAAUAAAAGCCCAGAUGCUGUUUAUGCUGUUU